Molecule: transfer RNA, 77 nt
Filed under: Fusobacterium sp.
Lineage: Bacteria; Fusobacteriati; Fusobacteriota; Fusobacteriia; Fusobacteriales; Fusobacteriaceae
Also listed under: 1 other name
Description: tRNA-Arg
Rfam family: tRNA
About the family: Transfer RNA (tRNA) molecules are approximately 80 nucleotides in length. Their secondary structure includes four short double-helical elements and three loops (D, anti-codon, and T loops). Further hydrogen bonds mediate the characteristic L-shaped molecular structure. tRNAs have two regions of fundamental functional importance: the anti-codon, which is responsible for specific mRNA codon recognition, and the 3' end, to which the tRNAs corresponding amino acid is attached (by aminoacyl-tRNA synthetases). tRNAs cope with the degeneracy of the genetic code in two manners: having more than one tRNA (with a specific anti-codon) for a particular amino acid; and 'wobble' base-pairing, i.e. permitting non-standard base-pairing at the 3rd anti-codon position.
Source: RNAcentral
GAUUCUGUAGCUCAGUUGGAUAGAGCAACGCCCUCCUAAGGCGUAGGCCAUGCGUUCAAUUCGCAUCAGAAUCGCCA